RNAcentral lists this ribosomal RNA (253 nucleotides) under uncultured bacterium. RNAcentral describes it as "partial 16S ribosomal RNA". It matches the Rfam family "Bacterial small subunit ribosomal RNA", at positions 524 to 776 of the family's 1533-position model. The record is from RNAcentral.
UACGUAGGGUGCGAGCGUUAAUCGGAAUUACUGGGCGUAAAGCGUGCGCAGGCGGCGCGUUAAGACAGGUGUGAAAGCCCCGAGCUUAACUUGGGAAUUGCGCUUGUGACUGGCGUGCUGGAGUGUGGCAGAGGGAGGUGGAAUUCCACGUGUAGCAGUGAAAUGCGUAGAGAUGUGGAGGAACACCGAUGGCGAAGGCAGCCUCCUGGGCCAGCACUGACGCUGAGGCGCGAAAGCUAGGGUAGCAAACGGG